RNAcentral lists this ribosomal RNA (492 nucleotides) under uncultured bacterium. RNAcentral's name for it is "partial 16S ribosomal RNA". It matches the Rfam family "Bacterial small subunit ribosomal RNA", at positions 29 to 507 of the family's 1533-position model. The record is from RNAcentral.
AGUGAACGCUGGCGGUAGGCCUAACACAUGCAAGUCGAACGGCAGCACAGUAAGAGCUUGCUCUUACGGGUGGCGAGUGGCGGACGGGUGAGGUAUACAUCGGAAUCUACUUUUUCGUGGGGGAUAACGUAGGGAAACUUACGCUAAUACCGCAUACGACCUACCGGUGAAAGCAGGGGAUCUUCGGACCUUGUGCGAUUGAACGAGCCGAUGUCGGAUUAGCUAGUUGGCGGGGUAAAGGCCCACCAAGGCGACGAUCCGUAGCUGGUCUGAGAGGAUGAUCAGCCACACGGGAACUGAGACACGGUCCAGACUCCUACGGGACGCAGCAGUGGGGAAUAUUAGGCAAUGGGCGCGAGCCUGAUACAGCCAUACCGCGUGGGUGAAGAAGGCCUUCGGGUUGUAAAGCCCUUUUGUUGGGAGAGAAAAGCAGCAGGUUAAUACGCCGCUGUUCUGACGGUACCCAAAGAAUAAGCACCGGCUAACUUCGUG